UAUGUACGGAAUGGAUAAGCGCUGAAAGCAUCUAAGCGCGAAGCCAACUUCAAGAUAAGAUUUCCCACCGCAAGGGUAAGACCCCAGAAAGACUAUCUGGUUGAUAGGUCGAAGGUGUAAGUUCAGCAAUGUAUUUAGCUUAUCGAUACUAAUAGGUCGAGGACUUGACCAAU
Molecule: ribosomal RNA, 173 nt
Filed under: Clostridioides difficile
Lineage: Bacteria; Bacillati; Bacillota; Clostridia; Peptostreptococcales; Peptostreptococcaceae
Description: partial 23S ribosomal RNA
Rfam family: Bacterial large subunit ribosomal RNA
Source: RNAcentral